UCGAACAAUCCAUAUAUAAAUCUAUUCUCUUAUUAAUUUCUCUGCCAAAUCACAAAGUUGCAGUGAAGUUUUUCAAUUUUACCAAAUAAAUUGAAUCAACGAAAUUGGGAAAAAGUAUGUCACUCGGUACUUUAUCUUGUUUAUUAGUUUUGAGGAAAAAUCCAUUAGGAAAAGUUACAAACUUAUCUAUGCUCAAUAUCUGUGACUAUUUUUAUGCGGCAGACUGUUUUAGCUCAAACUCUUUAGUAUAGCUAUAUAAUUGUAAACAGCUCAUGCAAUUUUAUGUUUUGAUUUUUACAUGAUAUAAUAUGGAGAGAUCUGUAAAGAUUAGUGGGGAAGAAAGAUCAAAGACGGAAGAAUAAAAAAAUUCCAGGACUUCUUCAGAAUCAGAUAAUAGUACUGAUGAAACUCCUCUGCCGAAUAAAAAAAUAGAAAAAUCCUCUGUUUUGUAUGUUGGUCUAUUUAUUUUGGGUUACAGAUUUGUAAAGUUGUGGGUGAGCUAUUAUGUUGCCAUAUGUAUGUGUAUGAAUUGUACUUAUAUAUAAUUAUCCCUUUAAUAAAUGAGGAUUAUUUUGGUAGCUUGGGUACAAUAACUCAGUAUAGUUCCACAAGUAAGG
RNAcentral lists this long non-coding RNA (617 nucleotides) under Nicotiana benthamiana. Its description in RNAcentral is "long non-coding RNA (NBEN_LNC014554)". Lineage: Eukaryota; Viridiplantae; Streptophyta; Magnoliopsida; Solanales; Solanaceae. The record is from RNAcentral.